UGCCAGCCGCCGCGGUAAUACGAGUGGUGCAAGCGUUAUUCGGAAUCAUUGGGCGUAAAGGGCGCGCAGGCGGUUUCUUAAGUCAGAUGUGAAAGCCCGGGGCUCAACCCCGGAAGUGCAUUUGAAACUAAGGAACUUGAGUAUGGGAGAGGGAAGUGGAAUUCCUGGUGUAGCGGUGAAAUGCGUAGAUAUCAGGAGGAACACCGGUGGCGAAGGCGACUUCCUGGACCAAUACUGACGCUGAGGUGCGAAAGUGUGGGGAGCAAACAGGAUUAGAUA
RNAcentral lists this ribosomal RNA (279 nucleotides) under uncultured bacterium. RNAcentral's name for it is "partial 16S ribosomal RNA". It matches the Rfam family "Bacterial small subunit ribosomal RNA", at positions 506 to 784 of the family's 1533-position model. The record is from RNAcentral.